RNAcentral lists this ribosomal RNA (460 nucleotides) under uncultured bacterium. RNAcentral describes it as "partial 16S ribosomal RNA". It matches the Rfam family "Bacterial small subunit ribosomal RNA", at positions 338 to 795 of the family's 1533-position model. The record is from RNAcentral.
CCUACGGGCGGCAGCAGUGAGGAAUAUUGGUCAAUGGGCGCGAGCCUGAACCAGCCAAGUAGCGUGAAGGAUGACUGCCCUACGGGUUGUAAACUUCUUUUAUAAAGGAAUAAAGUGAGGCACGUGUGCCUUUUUGCAUGUACUUUAUGAAUAAGGAUAGGCAAACUCCGUGCCAGCAGCCGCGGUAAUACGGAGGAUCCGAGCGUUAUCCGGAUUUAUUGGGUUUAAAGGGAGCGUAGAUGGGUUGUUAAGUCAGUUGUGAAAGUUUGCGGCUCAACCGUAAAAUUGCAAUUGAUACUGGCAGUCUUGAGUGCAGAUGAGGUAGGCGGAAUUCGUGGUGUAGCGGUGAAAUGCUUAGAUAUCACGAAGAACUCCGAUUGCGAAGGCAGCUUUCUAAUCUGCCACUGACAUUGAGGCUCGAAAGUGUGGGUAUCAAACAGGAUUAGAUACCCCUGUAGUC